CCCAAGGUCUGCCUCCAUGGUAAGUACUCUGGUAAUUUGGGUAGUGUUGACAGAAGCACUGAGUAUUACCCAAAGCACUCAGUGAUUUCUUUUUAAUGCUGGCUCCAACAGAAAAGUGGUAAGAAGUUCACCCCUCCUACAUGACGUUGUUAUGCUGCUAAUGCUCCACAGAAAUCCACCUUCGUGUCCCACAUCUGUCAUUCAGCCUGGGCUGCCCUAUUGCUUCUCUUCCAGCCCUGAGGACGUGAUGGGAACAACCAACUUUCCGGACAGGGUCAUGUAGCUGCCAGCCUGAGUGAACUGUGAUGAACUGUGCUCUGUUUCUUCAGCAACCACAGUUUCAGGAGCCUGGGAAUGGACCAAAAUCAUGCCCCUAAUUCUUGGGUCAGCUCCACCUUUACAUCUUUUAGGAAGAUGGAACACACUACUCUAACUCUGCAGGUGGAACUACAGAGACCAGGAAGAAGGAUGUGGCUUCUCCAGUCUCACAAUGACUUGCUUGUCAAGUAUGAAACACCUGAGUGGAAAUGCACAAACACAAAAGCCUGUUCACAAAUGGGAAUAAAAUAUGAAAAGAAUCAGCAAACCUUUCUGUUCCUACAACAGAAGGGUUACCUGUUGUGAGGGCGAGAUAUCAAACGUUGUGUAACACCUGCCAUGUCCCUGACAGCCAGCAUCACAUAUCCCACCAGUUCCCCCUAGGGACACUGGAGGGGCUGUCAGCAGGAGCUGGAAUCGAGGCUGCUUGUCAAGAAAUGGUUUUAUUUGAUAAACUCGUUGGCAUUUGGAUUCCUGCUGAUGGCAGAGCUGAGGGACGAGCACAUCAGCAGCGUAACUGUUUCUAAGCUGACUGCCAAAUGGUUUCCCCGUUUCGCAUUUACACUGUGCCAAGUGAGCUUACAAGCCCUUCCUUUGCUCUCCUAUUGCUGGACCAUGAAAAAAAGAGGCAGCUGUCCCCAGCCUCUUUGUCAGCUCGCCUUCUCUCCCACUGUUUACCUUACUUCUUUACCUUGCAAACAGCUCACCUCUCAGAGCCCGAGCUAAGCCCAGCCCUUUUGUGCCCCGCAGUCAUCGCUCCAUCUUUAGGGGAAAGCUGAUUCCCAGGAAUGCUGUGCAUGCACAUACCUAUCUGGGCGCUGCACCCACACCUGCCCACCCGCUAACCCAGCGCCCGCUGGCCCUCGCAGCCGCAUUCCAGCCAGCAGAGCUAUUGCUCGCUAAUUGUUACCUGUCAAACAGGUAAAUGAGGCUCUUGGGCCAAGUCCAAACAAGCACAUAUUCCCACCAAAUCCUAAACUUGCAAACCUUUAACCUUUUUGCAGCCCCACUGAUGGUUUUCACUGAGACUGAUUGGAAAGUAUGACGGUAUCUUCCACGGAUGGAAAAAAAGCGCAGCGUUUGGCUGUUUGUUGUGACAAAGCUCUCCUACACGUCAAUACCUGCAGCGGAGCACAGCAGGCACCCAAUGCAAGAGACGUGUGCGAUGGCUCCCACACCACAUGAGCGGCCUUCCAAGAUCACAGAAUGCUGUGCCAAUCCCAAAACGGCGUCUGGACGGUGAAGGGAUUCAUGUGUACAGAGUCUGGGGGGCUGGAAAAGUCAUUGUGCACGCAGCCUGGAGCCACGUGGGAGGGCUGUGAACUGGCAUUUCCUGCUCCAUGCACCCAGUUCAGACUUGCUCUGCUGAGUGCAGCAGGAGGGUCUGCGCUCCCGGGCGCAGGCAGCGGCCUGUUACGGUCCCACAGUGUGCGAAGACGGCUGGUGUUAGCUUCCUGCACAGGCCACAGAGGGAAAAUGGCGCCGACCAAGCUGCUCCCAGCUAAAGCUCGGUCCCCAUGGCUAGCUCUGCAGAAAAGACAUUGCCCCGCAGAAGCACUCACAAGGCAGCCUGCUCUUGUGGUAAUACAUUUCACAUUCUUCCACGUCAGAAUGCACUGAAAGAAAAAGUGGGUUCUGUCGAAACCCCACAGCUACAAAUCCCAUUAAAAACAGCACAGGUGUCACUGCUUUUCCGUGCCGCCCUCUUGCAGGCUCCUGGCUCGGACUGCAGGCUCUCUGCGGCCGGGGCCGUGCUACCACACAUCCCCACAUGCGUGACACCAUCUGACAGCACUUCUGAGCCCAGCCUCAGCCUCACCUGCGUGCUGCAUUGAGUCCCUCAGUUGUCAGGGCCUACCCGACAAACAAAGAGGGGAGAGUAAAUGGUAGAAACCAGUUGUUACUGGUAAUAACAGAAACACGAUCUCCCCACCAAGAUGGUAAUCUUUCCCCACAAAGGCUGCAGAUACCUCCAUGGUACACCCGAUUCUGACCUGCCUCUCACCUCAGCUUUAUCCCAGUCAUACCAGAAUGCUUGGAUCUCCCAGGCAUUGCCUUAGACUGCAGGUGAAUUCUAUGUUGGAAGUAACCUGGCAAAAGCAGUCAUUAGACCACUGGAAAAGCAAAUGGGUUUUUAGGCUUUAUUUGAAGGAGCACUUAAAUAUAUGUAUUUCAACUUAACAGUAGCUCUAGAAUGAGGUUUAGCACUGCUUUUUUGGAACAGUCUAAUGCUUUAAACUGAUUUUUACUUUUUCUUAGCUGAUAUGAGAACAGCUGUACUUGCACAGCUUCAGCUCAGCCCAGCACCUUCCCUAAAUGGCACGAGAUUUGCUCAGAAGAGAUCCUGAGAGUUACAGCUGUGGUAGCAGGUUUUGAGGGGCUGAGCUGAGCUCUGGGCUCCCACAGACCCAGUAUGUCAUGCAGAGAUUCCUAUAGAAAUCAGGAAUUCCUCUGCAGUUUCUUCUCUACGGUCCUCUCCUUCUUCUUGAUUUGCGACUCCUCCCUCUUUUCAACUCACAGAGGGAUUAAGCAGCUGUCUGAUCUGCUGCUCGCUCCUUGCCACACUCUGGCACAGAGUGCCUUCCAGCCUGUCACUGGGUUCCUACGCUGCAUGGGUUGCUGCACUCUGUAUCUUCACACUACUAUUGUCCAGCAGUACCAGAAACCAUUACUAAUGGUUCCCACAGGUAUUUUGCUUAAGAUAAAAGGGAAGACACCUUGAAAGAUACAAAGCACUUCUGCUUAAAAAACACUGCGAAAGCUGACAGCUGUAUUAUUACUAAUACCCACCGAGAACCAGUUAGAAAUACCUUGGCCGAAAAAUAUUAUUCCUGUGUAUCUCAUUCCAGUUCUGACAAACAUACUGAACGGUGAGCAUCAUUUCAGGAAUCUGUUGCUCCACAAAAGCUAUUAAGACUCCUGGAGCAGCUGGGUUCUUUGGGCUGCCCAGCCAGCUGGGCAGCUUAUCUACAGCAGAGGUGGUUGUAUGGGGCUGUUAUCUCUUUUUUCUACAGGAUUUUGUGAGGGGGCAAAAUAGCUUGAAGUCUGAGGUUUCUUUCAGAUCUGUAGAAGAACUUCUAUGCCUAAAAGUCUGUUCACUUUUCCCUACCCUCUUCCCAGAUCAUCACUUCUACAACAUAGCUGCUAUAUGAAGGAUGGUCCUCUCUGUUUGUUAGCUCUCACUGUGGAUGACUGUGAGGGUCGGCCUCUUCUCCCAUGUAAUAGUGACAGGACAAGAGGUAAUGGCCUUAAGUUGUACUGGGGGGUGGGGAAUUGGAUCUAAAGACAAAUUUCAUCUCAGGAGUUGUGAGGCAUUGGCACAGGCUGCCCAGGGAGGUGGUGGAGUCACUGUCCCUGAAAGUGUUGAAGAAUUGUGGAGAUGUGGCACUGAAGGACAUGGUCAGUGGGCAUGGUGGGGAUGGGCUGGCAGUUGGACUGGAUGAUCUCAGUGGUCUCUUCCAACCUAAAUGAUUCUAUGAUUUAGCUAUUUCUCAGCAGCUGGAGAAGAGAGUUAGCUGUCUGGAGGGCUGGUCAACAGGAGGGUUAAGGAAACCAGGCUACAAGCACCCAUCUGCUGGUUGCCAGAAGAGAUGACUUAGGCCACCAGCCCACGCACUGCAGGUCACUGCCUACCAGCAUGGGUUCCUCACAUUACCCACUUCUGACUCCAGCUUGUGCAAAACCGCAUUACUCAGAGCUGGUUAACACAGGAAAGAAGCUUUUUAGCUCCUCCAAAGCUCACAAGUGAACCUCCCUGCUAUUGCUCCUUAGUGUCUUUGUGAAGUGUAAUACUGGUUAAUUUAAUUGUGAGGGUGUGUAACAGUUUAAAGCUGUGUUUACAGCUGUUUCAGAUCUGAAAAAGCAAAUGUGAGGACAAGAAAACAUGUAACUCCGGAGAGUUCCAAAACCAGCAUUCCCAAAUGAAAGUAUAAAUGAAGGAUUCUCACCAGCGGGAAGUAAUUGAGCAAAAUAGAUGCACCCCUCAUUAAACAAAGCCCUGAUUAGUUCAGCGGUGCCAGUGAUGCAACUGAUUCGUACCAUUUUGCAAAUCUCUUUUUCCACAGGCCGAGCCCUUGGGUUCACAUAACACCAGUGUGUUAUUUGAAAAACUCGGAUUCUUCAGUUGUCCACCAGGGAACAGCUUGAGAGGGAAAUACUGGGAUGCUGACAGACGGAUUGUAUGUUUUUUAAAUGUCACGAUUCUAAAGCACCGUGCAAGGAAGGGGCUGCGACUGCCUGUGUGCACUCACUGCAGAGUCCACAGCAGGGUUUGAGGCUCGGGGUCUCCAGAAUGUGUUCUGUCCUCUGCUGCAAACACGACAUGAAAGAGGUAAAAAGUCACAUAACAAGACUUGUGCAUUUGUUAAAAGGGGGGGGGGGGGGGGGGGGGGGGGGGAAGCUCAGGCCUCAAAUGCCUUUAUGUUUGCUGUGGCCCAAGACACAGCAAGCAUUUCUGACAUUGCUUCUGUGCAUGAUGGGAGAACUCGUUACACUGCUAAUACUACGUUAUCUUCCUACCAUCACACUGCCUGCUGCCCACAGCAGUUUCUUUAUUGCUGGUAUCAAGGGCAAGGACUGACUGCAUGGGCAGAGGUGCCUGUGCUCGGGAUGAGACAGCUCCUAGCCGCUAAUUAGCCGCUAAUCCCGUGCACCGAGGUUCCCACAGACCGUGAGGGCUUCCUUUGGUGACUUUUCAAUUAGCAUCAUAACACCCCGAGCUUUGAAUGCUUUGUAUAUAUUUAUCUUUGCUCCCAAUUGUCAGGGCCAGCCAACGGGAAUUAAACCAAUUUAAGAGCAUCUGUGUGUCUAUUAUUUGGCAGCUAUUAGCCGAAAUUGACAUAAUCCUCCUCCCUGCUGAGAGAUAGAUAAUUUAUAUCAACUUCGGUGUGACUUGCUAGGAUUCUUCCACAGUACAGGCGAGAAAUCGUGCAGAUACCGGUAGGAAAGUGGAAUUCUAGCACGUACAGGAGAGAAGCGCCCUUAUGGCACCGCUAGCGGCAGCAAGCAGGGCUGGCCGAGGCAGGCAAGCGUUGCUACUGGCUACUGCCCCAUCGCUGCUGGAAUGUUAACGACCGCUUUGUCAUACCGAGGGCACCUAACAGCCAUCCCGCCCAGCUCAAUAGGCACCGCCGCCCAACUCCUCUUAACGCAGCCGAGGGCUGCGGCCGGUGCAAUUCCCAGCAUUAAUGGACACUCUCUGAGCAGAGGCACUUCAAAGCACCCUCCCCAGGCUCAAAAGGCUCUCCCCAUCUCGGUACGAUGGGCUGUUUACACUGAGGUAAUUGCCGUGUGUAUAAUUGGCCUUGCUUACAGAGAAGAUGCUCAGAUAUCCUUGGUCACCCUUCCCCUCUCCCAGCCUCGUUGGAAGCUCUGGAACUCAAAGAAACAACGGAGGGGAAAUCCUGCCUCCCUGCCCUCAUCUUGCCAGGCUGGGUUCAGAGGGCCAAAGCAUCUGCUUUAACCCCAGGCACAGCCGACAGAACUUGAGCCAGCCCUGCAACCACUUCCAAAGCACAGAACAGUGAUGCAGUGCAAAGGGCAACUCAAAACGACCGACGUCUUCAUAGUACUGUCUGUAAAAACCAGCCACGUCUUUUAUGCACGCAUCUCUUGAGGGAAAGAUGGCCAUUUAACCUGCAGUGUAGAAAAUACCUUCUUGAUUGGAUAGCUGCUCUCAUUCAUAGACUUCCACGCACUCGGUGGCUUCACUGGGACUAUGGCGAUGCAUGCCGUGCACCUGCAGAAACUCACUGCUACUCCAGCCAGUGGAGGAGGCUGAUAGGCUCAAAGCAGCAGCUGCUGCCAGAGCUGUGGGUGAUGCUAUGUCUCUGCGGUGCCAAGAGACAUCACAUGAGGCAGCCACGUGUCAGACUCCAGGAGAAGAACUGGGCUGGGCGAAUGCUGUAAUUAAUUCCCCAUGCUUACACCUGGAAGGCUUUCAUUCAUCCCAAACAGAAAAGACUGCUUUUCGUGCACUUUCACAAUUACUAAAACUCAAAGCUAAAACCGAGUUACUGCCAAAAGAGGUGGGUCUGCCCUACAACUCCUGUCCCCUUGCUUUUGUUGUCUCCAUCACUCCCACAGUUUGGGAAUGGAGUUUUACAGGGUCAAACCAGCCUACUUACUUGCCUGAAAACUGACCCUAUUGAAAGCAAAAACAAAACAGUUCUCUGGAGGUUGAAAGAGCAAGUCUGCUGAUGUGACAGAAGAGGGAAGAAAUGCAUGAUUUAGGGUAAGGAGAAAGCUCCUUUGGGCAGGCACAUAUUCUUCCACUGAGCUAAGUCAACCAGUGGCAACUGGAAUGCUUUCAACCUGUUAGACCUCCCAGAAAAACCCCUCAACUUCACUGUAAGAAGGGGGGCUGAAGCAUGUUGUUACCAAGAUGUUCUCAUCCCUUACCUUACAAACAAGGCUGCAGGACAGCCAGGGUGACAGGACCUUCUGACAUUCUCCUGUGUGCUGCUUUUUCCCAAGUUGCUGCAUGCUCACUACUGUGACCUUGGGGCUAUCAGGGAAAUCCCCAUUACUUCCUGCUCCACUGUGCUGUGGUGCCAAGCUCGGUGCCCACUGCCUACACUUCACACAGGAGAGAAAUAAUGAUGAGAAAGUACAACCUUGGUGGAGAUUGACUCUGUUCUGCCCGGGGUAAGAUCUUUCCUGGAAGCCAACUACAACACUGCAUCAUCAGUUGUCCCAUGUGAAUACUGGUGUCAGCUCAGAGUUAUCCGUACAGCAUUUAAACUCAACCUGUGUAGCACAGGGGCUAAACCAAUUGGCUCUGAUAAGACAAGAUGAAGGCAUUUGCAUUUAAAAUCCUACAUUUCACAUGUGGGUUGUCUAUUUAGUGAGCACUGUUCAUUCUGAACUCUUUCCCUUUGCACUCCAUCUUCAUCUUUGCUAUUGAUUUAAGCUAAAAGGGCAAGGCCAGGCUGAGAAAGGCACCACACACUCUCUCAGGCACUGUCUGGGAGUCCACAGGAGGCUGAGGCAGUGCUUUCAGCGAGCAGUCAGUAAGGGCUAAGAAUCUCCAAGGCACUCAAUGCUCUGGCGCUACUUUGUCAAAACAUGUAGGCUCUGCCUGUACAGUUUAAAAAUAAAUGCAUUCUAAACUGGGGAACUUGCUGGUUUCAGUGGGAAUGCAGGCAUACUUUCCAGGAGUUGGGCUGAAGCAUUUAGCAAACUACCUGUCUGCUUCUGGCACCAGCCUGAGAGAUGGGCAUGGGGUUAAUAAAUUCCUGGCUCUGCAGAUUCCCCACAAAACCUUUGGCAAGUGUGUUGCUCAAAAACCUCACAUACAAAAUGGAGAGGUGCUGCACCUACCUCCUCAUGUCUGCCUUGUGCUCCUCCUUCAAGAGCUCCACAGGUCAGGAAUUGUCCUGGACAGCUGGGAUCUGGGUCAAAACUUGAGCAACUUCACCAAAGCUUGAGCAACUUCAUCCUGAUACCAACCUGUGUCUCUGCCCCAGGGCACAGAGCCUGCAGGCUGUCAGUCUGGCCUCCCUCUCAUACAGGUUUACUGGAAUGACACAGCCAAAGCGUAUGAGUUUUGCCUUCCUCUCCAGGCAGCUUAACUGUGGUAUUAAUUAGGAGUGAUUUAUACCCCCAGCAAUGGUAAGGCAGGGCUCGUCUUCCCUGGAGAAGUCCUAGUAAUCAGAGCGAAGUUUAUAGCGAAAUAAAGAGCAACACACAUAUCUCACCCCCACCCUACCCUCCAGGGCAAUUGCUCAUGUGUGGGAGCUCAAGAAAAAAGCAGUACAGAAAUGUAAAUGUAAAUCUGCCUGCUUUGCCCCUCACACCCAAGCACACCAUAUAAACAAACAGCCAUCGCCAGGUACUGUUUUCUAGUCAAAUAGAGAGAAACAAGUACUCAGCAUCUCUGUGGCUGGAGCCACACAAAACUUCUUCAUGCGGGAUACUUUCACCUUGCUUAGGAAGAAGCUAAGAUUUCCAUCCACUUGGAAAAAAGGUGAAGAAAAAGAAUGUAAGGAAAAAACACAGCUGUUGUAAAUCCUAUUUAAGAAGGGACUCAGAGAAACAAAGGUAAGGUUAAAAAGCAGCAUAUGCCACAGUCACGGGACACAGGCAAAGGAGACAGAAGAAGCUCCUAACUCCAAUCUGUUAAAACACAAUAUGAAGAUCAAUACUGGAUUGGGCAGCGUAAUAAUGCACACAGGUAACAGUGAUAGUGUGAAAGCAAAAUGAGGUACAAAAGAACUUGGGACCUGUAUGCUCUGUGAGCCCGAUUCCCGGUCUGUCUCUCCCAGCACAACGGCACAGGACAGGACAGAGCAGUCAGCACACCUCCCUGCCUGGCAGGGCAGUUCCACCAGCAGAAAUCUACUUUCACAGCAGAGACUUAGCAGUGAUAAAGCAGGCUUGUAGGUGCAUGCAGGGCGUGUGCGCUGUACAAACAUGGUAUUGCUGAGAUGCUGCGCCUGAUAGUGCAGGCUGAUGGAGUGACUGCAGGGGAUCUACAACUGGGGUCUUCCCCACGCCAUAGCCUGAGAGAUCCUGAAGCUCCAAACCCAGAUAGCAGAGAAGGCCAAAGAUUAUGUUGGCAAGCUCUGAGCCUACACUGCCCUGAAGCCUGACGGAGUAACACUACGUACUCACAACACCGCCUCUAUAUUUAUGAACAAGAUCAGUGGGAGUGCUUUCUUCUGAAAAACUGCUCCAUUUCAAAAGAGAACAACAGCAAAUAGCAGAAAGACCUAUGCCUGUCUGUAAAGGUGCUUCAGCAGCAACAGAGAUAGUGGCCUAGUGACCCUUCCAUAGAACAAGGCACAGCAGAGAUCUCUUGGCUCCAGCAGGGGUUUCUUUUCUGCCACCAGCCCAUUCCCUUUGUCUUCUGCCACAACUGAGCAGCACCCUCCGGGCAAUCAGCUCCCCCUCUUCUCAACAAGCCUGGAAAGCUGUCUCUUCCAUUCCCUGUGAUUCCUUAAGCACCUGACUACUUGAUUAAGGCAUCAACUUAUUUUGAGGAAGAAACAGGUUGCUUCUAAGCAAAUCCACAGCUUUGUUUCCCAGCUCCUAUUUCCCCAUUCGGAAGUGUUUCUGUGGAAUCUCUGAGCUGAAUUUACUCCAGUUCCCAAGUGUGGGAAAAGUAAACAAGCAAUUGUUUAUAUGCCAUCCUUCACCUUCUGCGCACUGGAACACCAGGGCCUAUUUUAGGACAGUACCGUUACAGCAAGAAGAGAUGCACUCUUCAUUGGCUUUCGACUGCUCUUAUUGCAGGGUGGGGUGACAGACCUGUGGAGCUUCUGUGUUUUUUAAAAACACCCAACUGAUGCAGAGACAUACGAAGCUCUCGGGGAUGUGAUCAACGUGUGAAAACCUAUUUCAGAUUCCUUUCAAAUGAUGCUCUGCAAAUCAUAAUGAUUCAAGAACGGACCGAUGAGGGCUGGGAGCAGAAGCCCCAGCAGCCAAUGCAGAGUGCCAUUCCUGCUCCCCUGUGAGAGCCCUUCAGCUAGGAGCAGCCAUCCAUCCAAUUGUUUGUUCAACUGGGUCACUGAAAAACAGAAAAAGAAGCUUUUAAUUAUGAAAAGGAAGACGGUUUUCAAAGUACUACUGCUGACAACCAACCAAAAAACAAAACCAACCCCACAACAGACAGCCAUUAGGACAGUUUUCUUCCGACAUUCCUCAGGAGCUCUUCACAAUGUAGACAAACUACAAGCAUUUCAGCUUUCUCCCCAAACAACUCAGUCAGGAUUACUCAAGAUGUGUCUGUGAAGCCGCAGAUUUGUUCUGUGAUGAUGCAGAGGUCCUGCUGAGUACCACAAGAAGUCAGACAAAGCAUCCUAACGAUGCACUGGAUAUUCUUCUCAGAGGUCAGGUUAUUUAGGUCCCACUCCUCUACCCCACCAUGACACAGUAUCAGUUUCAGCUUAAUUAAGGUAUUUCCGAGUCCCAGGUCCCACAGCACAUCAAGCUGUCUUCCAGAGAUGUUUUCUUAUUCUUCUUCAGGCAGAGUUUUUCCUGCCAUUAGGUGACCUAACCAUGGUUUCCCCUUGUCCCAAAACACUUGGCUGAAUCACUGGAAAAUGCUAUCAGAGAUCAAAGCAUCUGCAGAAAAGUUAUCCCUGUGUAUUACAUUCUGUUGAAUUGGUUUCAAAGCAAUGAGUAAUCUUUAUGAAAUGGAUGGGUACUACUAAUCAAGAAGCUAAUAUUCCAAUCUACUGUCAGACUUAGGUGCUUCCUCAGACGUCUCCAUGUCCCAGCCCAGAGAGGACUGCCACACUCUGACCCAUUUUCACCACUAAAAAUGAUUUCUGUUCUAAGCUGAAACAGGGUUCUGCGUGCCAUACUGCCUAAGACAAGUGUUGCAGAUAUGUUUACAUUGUAACGCUGACAUCUUUCAGAAUCAUGAACUCUAUGCUCAUAAUGAGCAAACAAAGCUCCUCCUUUUCUUCUUACAUGGUUCCACGUUGCUCUGAGGACUCUAUAAGACAUGCAGAUCAGCAUUUCAGAUAAAGGUGGCACAUGCAGCCCCAUGCCCUGCCCUGGGGCUGGGAAGCACUCCAUCACAGAAUCACAGAAUGGCCUGGGUUGAAAAGGACCUCAAAGAUCAGCUAGUUUCCUGCCACGGCAAGGUCGCCAACCACUAGACCAGGCUGCCCAGAGCCUCAUAUUCCAUGGUCCUCUGUGCUGUUCAACUGCUGUUGCCACGCAUGAUGUGGAGGCAUCGGAGAGCUCCAGGUUCUUACUGAGAUCCCAGCUGCGCUAUCUGGGAAGCGCAACUGGCAGGUUCCAGGCAGCAGAUACUUGUCACUAGUCACAGCAUUCUGAUAGCACUUUCGUAUUGUUUCAUUGUGAAACAAUACAAGUAACCCGUUGUUACAAUCUUGGUUACUUAGGAUUACUUCUGUUACAUUAAAUGUUAAUAGUGUAGCAUAAUCUAUUAUUAGAACACACAAAAGAUCCAUUUGGAGUAUAGGAAAGCUGCACUAAGAUCUAUUUAUUUUGAUGUACGUGACGGCGUUGUUGAAGUCAGUUGAAGAUCAAGGUCUGUACAAAUUCCAGUAAAUAUAGUUUCAUAUAGAAGAUAACUACAAAGGGAAGGCUACGGGGAGGAUUAACAGUAAAUGCAUCACAAAAUUAGUAGGUAGGUGGUUGGCUUUGAACUUACUGCAAGAGAGCAUUUUAUAUCAACAGCCAUCAAUGACACAGAAACACACAAAUAAAAAUACGUGGUAAUCACUGCCUACUGCAAACACUUGUUUCCAAACAUCUGUGCUCUCACUGAGCUGCCUCACAACGCUGUUUUGACAUAAAUACCUCUCUAACAUCUUUUAUCGCACAGACUUCUUUUAAUAGUUUUCUGAAUGAUAUUUUAGGUACUUACUGCAAUUAGUAAGCUGAGCUGAACCUUGUUUGUGCACCCUACUUCCUCUGCCCAGUGCUGGCAAGUCCAAACAGCGCUGAUGCUGGCUGCUAUGGAACACAUCAUGUAAACACGAGGUAAAGCGUUAGACAGUUGAAUUCUACACCGACUCCUCACAACAAGAAGCAAGAAAAAGAAACACCCUACCAGGCUGAGAAGCUGGUUUGCAAAGAAGCAAACAGCACGAAAGUGAUCUGCUAUUGUAGAUUGUUCCUGUAAGCUCCAAAGACAACUCCUAGAUUUAUAAUAAUGUAUUGCAUGACCAUUUUAUUUUUGCCCUACACAGCCUUUAUUCAAUGAGAAGCAAGACUGGUCUGGCCUGAAAUAACAUUAGAUGAUUUUUUCAGUGACUAACAGAUUAGUUUAUAACAAUCCUGGAGCUCAUGAAGAAUGAGCAGCGGGCUGGAUGAGGCAGGACCUGUUUGACCUGCUAGGCUGGACGCUCACAAUUGAAUUCCAGUUUGCAGUCUGGAACAAAAUGCUCAUCCAGAAAACGAUGAGCCCAAUCCCUACUAUCUGCUUAAAAUAAUUUUCAGGGUAUAUUUGUUCACCUAAGCAAUAAGCUGUCAUCUUCAACAAACUCAAAUCAAGAGUUCAUUACUGCAUUUCUCACUUCUGUUCUUAACUUUGACCUUGAACACUUCUGCAGCCACCGAGCAGUAAUUCAGUCUCCCAGCUGCUUCACUGGAAGCAAUCUCUCCCGAGAGCAGGCUGCUAAAGGCGGUUUUGUAGCUGACCCAGUACUAGAACAACAAAUUCCAUUUCAGUCUGAGUUACAGUUUGGGCUUGGUCCAGGACUGCAGAUGGCAUCAGAUGCUGUUUUCUUCCCUGCAAAAUCAUACAUCAGCAGCAUUGCUAACUUGGGGAAGGUGGCAUUUUCAAAAACGUUCAUCUUCCUUUCCUUCCUCCUAUACAUUUCAUAGAGAAGGGGGGGGGGGGGGGGGGGAAGUGAAAGCCACACAUCCAAAUGUUCCCCAUAAUCUGAAAAAAGUAAAAAGGGAAAGAGGAUACCUGAAUUGAGGUUAAUCCUAUUUACAGCACUCAAUUAGGUAGCCUUUUCAGGUCUCAAAAGCUUCUUUCAACAUAAUAUCAAUAUUUGUGAAUGAAAUCUUAUCAUUUCUGCAGUUAGCAGUAAGGUUUCAUUAACUUAAACCAUGAUAGGAUUCCCAUUAUUCCUCCAGAACAGCUCACAACAUCUCACAGUAGUGUGCCUGGGAGGCUCUACUUGUCUCAAGAUGACAUAGUAAUUUUUUAUACAAAACAACUGAAGUAUUUGUAGUGAAUAAAUUACUCAGCUUCUCUUCUUUGUUUUACAAAGUCUUAUUGCUUCCUCAAAAUGUGUUCUACAGACUGACUUAUCCAGGCAUUGUUAUUCAUAACGGCCUACAGACUGAGAAGUUCAAUACCAGUAUUUGCUAUCCACAAUUCAGGCCACAUCAGCAGCUUUCGAUGGGAUUUACUGAUUGCAUAAUGAUUCUUCUUUCCUGCGACUGAAAACAAAGGAAGGCUACGUAAUACUUUGUGCUCAGUCCAAGUGUCAUUAACCUAGCUAAACUAAAUUUCUAAUUCUAAAAACAUAACGGGGAAUCCGGCAGAGGGACUGGACUACAUGAUCUUUUGAGGUCCCUUCCAAUCCCUAACAUUCUGUGAUUCUGUGAUCUUCUUGGGACUACACUUGAGCUGACUUAAAACAGAGCUAUAUUGAUUUGGCUCUAUCUGGUUAGUUACUAUGAAUAUAGGUAAGGGCUGAGAGAUAGUAACAAUCAUUUGUGCCUGACUGUGAUCCAGUAAUAUCAAAGACUUCCACGCACCAACCUUGAUUUCCACUGCACUGAAAGAGGAUUGCAAUUCUAUGCGGUUACAGCCACAUACACAUACAUUCAGAGGUUGCUCUGAAGGUAAUGCUUCCUAUUUAUUUCCAUGGAAACUACAACAGAGAAUGAUAACACAAUUUGUGUUAUGAUAGAGCAAAAUUCAGCUACAAAACACUAUUUUUCAACACAGCUAUCACCAUCAGCUGAUUCACGUAGGUGAGCUGGUUGAGACUCUCUUCACUUUGAGGUGUGACAGCUGUGCAUGGACAUCCAGAAUGUGGCUUAUAUCUGUUGCACCCACCCACCGCCUCCCUGUGCUCACAUCCAUUGAUUGCCUCCAUAAAUGUUCAGCAAGCAUCAAUGAAUGUCAGCGGGUGCCAUUUUUUCCGCAUGGAGGAAUUUAAUUCCACACCUUUGCUUCAUAUGGACUCCCAUGUCGGAUGCCACUUUGUCAGACUGCCCCUCUGCUGCCAUCCGUCACAUGGCAACAUCACGUAACAGAUGUUGGUGGGAAGGUUCAGCCUCCACUGCCAUACCAACAACAUCCACCUCGGAUGCUGUGGGCCAACAAAACAAAACAGAAUCACAGAAUCAAAAUCAGGAGGCAUUACUUUUGGAGCAGCCCUCACGCUUGGUUAUACGGAUGCUUAUUUUUGUGAACACCCUCCUGCCAUGUCCUCAUCAGCCGAAAUCAAAGGUAGAAGAAUCCUUCUCCCGGGACGGUAUAAAUUCCUUCAGCUAACUUAACUUUCCUGCAAAGGUCACCGUGCAAUACAACGGCCUAUUUACGCCACACGCAGCGCUGUCUGUGAGGCAGAGGCGAAGCCGGACGCCCGGGAAGACGUCUCGAGGUGAGGAGCUGUACAUGUGGCAGCAGCGAAGAGCGGCGAGGUGCCGACCCGCUCCGCCGGGGGAACGCGGACCGAGCGCAGGCGUUUUCCUUUCUUCUCCGGCUUCCGAGUUGACCUGAGGAGCCCUUUUCCUACACCUUCCCCACCAUCGGAUGACAGCUGCUGCCCCCAGAGCUCCAUCCCGUCCUUCCGGACGGCACUGAGGCGCUGGCGCAGCGCCCGGGGGUGCAGCGGGCUGAGGGCCCC
This is a long non-coding RNA of Gallus gallus (chicken), 14612 nucleotides long. The record is from Ensembl. NCBI's taxonomy places the organism in Eukaryota, Metazoa, Chordata, Aves, Galliformes, Phasianidae.